This 468-nucleotide ribosomal RNA is filed under the name uncultured bacterium. RNAcentral describes it as "partial 16S ribosomal RNA". It matches the Rfam family "Bacterial small subunit ribosomal RNA", at positions 28 to 507 of the family's 1533-position model. The record is from RNAcentral.
GACGAACGCUGGCGGCGUGCUUAACACAUGCAAGUCGAACGGAAAGGCCCUGCUUUUGUGGGGUGCUCGAGUGGCGAACGCGUGAGUAACACGUGAGUAACCUGCCCUUGUCUUUGGGGUAACUUCAGGAAACUGGGGCUAAUACCGGAUAGGAGCUCCUGCUGCAUGGUGGGGGUUGGAAAGUUUCGGCGGUUGGGGAUGGACUCGGGGCUUAUCAGCUUGUUGGUGGGGUAGUGGCUUACCAAGGCUUUGACGGGUAGCCCGCCUGAGAGGGUGACCGGCGACAAGGGGACUAAGAUACGGCCCAGACUCGAACGGGAGGCAGCAGGGGGAAAUCUUGCACAACGGGCGGAAGCGUGAGACAGCAACGCCGCGUGCGUGAUGACGUCCUUCGGGGUAUAAACCGCUUUCGCCUGAGACGAAGCGGGAGUGACGGUAAUGGGUAAAGAAGCACCGGCUAACUACGUG